CCCUUAGAUGUUCUGGGCCGCACGCGCGCUACACUGAUGCAUUCAACGAGUUUUUCCUUGGCCGAGAGGCCUGGGCAAUCUUUUAAACGUGCAUCGUGAUAGGGAUAGAUUAUUGCAAUUAUUAAUCUUGAACGAGGAAUUCCUAGUAAACGCAGAUCAUCAAUCUGCAUUGAUUACGUCCCUACCCUUUGUACACACCGCCCGUCGCACCUACCGAUUGAAUGGUCCGGUGAAGCCUCGGGAUUGUGGCGAGUUCCCUUUAUUGGGAGUUUGUCGCGAGAACUUGUCUAAACCUUAUCAUUUAGAGGAAGGUGAAGUCGUAACA
RNAcentral lists this ribosomal RNA (325 nucleotides) under uncultured eukaryote. RNAcentral describes it as "partial 18S ribosomal RNA". It matches the Rfam family "Eukaryotic small subunit ribosomal RNA", at positions 1470 to 1796 of the family's 1831-position model. The record is from RNAcentral.